AAAAUACAGGAGAGAAAAGGCGAGCAGAGGUUCAUCUAGCAUCGCCACUCCUCCGAGCUUCGAUCAUCUUCUCCAUCCAUUGCCAGGUUUUUCUAGCAGCGCUAGCAAUCCGAGAGGAAAGGGGAUUCCCUUCCUCCUUGGAUUUCGUCACCAAGCCAAAUCCAUAUCCGUCCACCUUUAUCCCUUUCAAAUCGACGUUGUCUCCACUGCAGGCAACCACCGAGCUGCCCUUCGCGUAGUUUGGGGUUUUUCACAUUGCCGGAAGCAGUUGGACAUUCCGAGAUGCCUCCUUCAUCCAUUCCUCGCCCGCAGCUCCUCUGAUCACAGUAUCAUCUUCGCUAUCAACACCAACGCAUGAUCAUCUUCACAGUGCAAUUCCGAGCUAAGGGAUGCCCUAUUGAAUUAUCAUUCAGCCAUUACAUUCGUUGGGAGACGAUCCGAGCCAUUCUCUAUACUGCAUUAGCAUAGAGAGAAGGGUGUUUUUGAUGAUGAUGGGAGCUAGUUGAGUUUGACUAUGCAUUUGCUGGUGAAGAUAGUGUAGGGAUUUUUGUUAAUGGAGGUAGAGCCUCAAGAAUCACUUCCUUUGGUUGUACAUUCACCUGAGCCAGAGCUUGACCUAAAGCCAGAGCCAUUACCUGACCAAGAGGAGGCCACAGUCAUUGUUUCAAAACCUCCAAGUACCUUCCAACAUGACAAGGUGAGCAUUCCGUCUAAUCUUUUAGAAAAUUUUAUGGAGGUACCCAUUUUUGAUUUUAUUAGAUGUGAUGCAUUCUUCGAUACAUUCUUUGCAAAGGUUGAUUUUAUUUUAUUUCAUUCUUACCCUGUAUGCGUACGGGAGGUGUUGUCUUUCCUUGGCUUUGUAGGUCGUUGUAGCCUUCUAGAGUGGUUACUCCAUCUAAACCGCCUCUGACUUCUGGGCUGAAUUUUCCAAGAGCUCACGGUGGGAGAAGAGGUGAUCACCUCAAUUCUUAGCAUUCCACUUCCGGAGUGGAUUUUGUACCUUAACCGUCUUCAACCACUUGGACAUACUUACGAGGAGUUAACAAUGGAGGGAGCAGUGCACCACAAUACUGAUCACACGAGGAUAGCUCUCUCAUCUACCGAGACUACUCCAUUAUCGGCGUAGCCUUUACUCUUGAACCAUCUUCAACUGCUAGGAAUAAAGGGGAGUCUAUUUUUUUUUCUUUUCUUUUCUUUAUACUUUAUACUUUCUUUUGUCUUUAUACUUGAGUGUUAGUUUGCAUUUGAUUCUUUGCUUUCACACUUAGCACUUUUCACUUUGUUUUGUCUUUCCUAUACUUUGUUUGGUUUGAAUAAGUUCCUCAUGCAUUCUUAGUAAUACUUUGAGAAUUGUAAAAGUUCUUUAAGUUUGACCGUCAAGUUCUAGGUCAUUUGAUAUGAUUGACUGUUUAACUUGCAUGAUAUUGGUUUGUGUGGUGAUGGAUUCUAUUUUGAUCAAUUGAGUUUGAUUGCCAAAAUUACUUAGAGAGGACUACUACAUGCCUAUACUUUAUUCUCUUUUUGUGUGAUAUGCACUCAUGACAAUUGAAGUCUAGAACUUGCUUUGCUUCUUUUUAAAAUCACAAUAUCAUUGGCAUGCAAUGAAUAUGAUGAAGGAUAUUUCUUUCCCCAUCCUUUGAAUUCUUUUCCUUUCAAAUGUUAGUUGAAUAAUUCACUCAACAAAUUUAUCUUCCACCAUACUUGCUUGAGGUUUAUGGAGGUUCCAUUGUGGGAUCAAUUCAAGAGUUGUAUUGUCAGAUGUUAUAUGAAGUCACAAUUCAAGUGGAAUUUCAGCCAUAUUUUGUUGGAAGUCAAAACAGAUUUUUCAAGUUUUAAAGAGAUAGAAGUGGUGGAAUAUGUGUGAAGUUUGAGUUCAAAUUGGGAAGUUGGUUUUAGAGAAUCAGAGCAGGAAUUAUGGUUACCUGUUGAUGUUUUUGUCCUUGGCUCUGUUUAGGGCAGUUUGAAAGUAGGGAAGUCUGAUUUUGGCUGGGUUGUAGUGCUGAAAAAUAAAAAUGAAAUGAAAGUUGGGUUGUCCAAAAUUGAAGUGGUAGAGGAUUGAGGAAGUAAGGUAGCUGAUCUGAAACUGGUUUUGGAAUCUGACUUCUAAUCUCUGAGGUUAAUUACAAAAGCUGAAUUCUAAUUAAGUUACUAGAACCUGUUCUUUCCUCCUGCUGCUGCCAAUUAAGAAAGCUUUGAAUCAAACUCUAGAAACACUUGGGAGUUAAAUGAUGAACAAGACUGAAUCUCCAACGGAAUUUAGGGAAUCCAACCAGUACCUUGCAAGACUCUAACAACUUGAGCAUCCAACCAAGUAGCUGAACUUUGUGUUACCUAGGGACUGUUGGGUACCAAGUCUCCAUGCUGAUCUUGACCAGCAACAACAUGAAAUUAGUCUCCUGUUAGUUUAGUGUUAAAUGAGAUCUUUCCUUGAUUUCAACUCCUCAUAAAUAAAAGAUGAAUUUCCUUGGAUCCUCAAUUCUGAAACUCUGAAAGAAUUCUGGAUUACUGAAUUGUAGAAGUUCUUUGACGAUUGGAUUGGAAUCUGAUCUCAGAAGCUGCAGUUGAAGCAAUGGUGAUCUUUCUCUUGCUGUCCUGUUAGCCUAGUAUCAAUUGAUUUAUUCUUCAAAAACUCAACUUGUCAUGACCUAGCAGUUGGAAUAGAAGUUAGAAACUGAAAUCUGGAAAACCAGAAUUCAGAAACUAGUUCAUUCCUGGAAUUCUUUGGUGACUCUGAAAUUUUAUCUGUUGAAUUGAAGAGAUUGAUAACAGCUUGAACUUUAAUUCCUGUGUUGCAUUAACAAUUGAUAACCUCUUCUAAGCUAAAUUCUUGAUGACUUGAGAUGAAACUUCCUUAAAUUCGAAGUUUUGAAACUGAAGAUUGAAGCAACAAGGCUUACGGAUCAGUUUAAUUUUUAAAACUUUUUAGAAUGGUUUAUGAUCCUGUUUUCUGAGUUCUGAAGUGCAGGAAGUCAUUAAACUACUUUGAAUCUAAUUUCUAGAAUUUAGGUCUGUGGAUUCCAACUUCUGAACCUGAGUCUGUAAAAUUUCAGAAGCAGUUGGAUUCUAGUGUAAACUUUAAUCUCAGGAAAGAAGAAAAAAAGAGAAGCCACUUCAUGUGCCAAUGUCUUUUGUGGUUUCUUAUCAGUAACAAUUUGAAUUCAAGCUCCUAGUAGUUCAAUGUUAAAUGAGAACUCAUUCCAAGCUAAACCCUUCAUGAUUUUAACUGAGAUUCCCUUGAAUGAACAAUUCUGAAACUGAAUGCAGUGUUGUCCCUGGAACUCAAGCUUGAGUUCUGAAAUGGAUCUGGAAUUCAUACAUUGCCCACAGUUAAUGUUGGUGGGGAUGCUGAAAUCCUGAAGAAAGUACCAAGUGUUCAAGUAAGAAGGGAAAAAAAACCCGUGAAGCUAAAAUUCUGGAAUCAAAUGCAAAGUGGUGGAGUCAAAUUCUCUUGGAUGAUUUCCGGUCUAAUUCUUUUCUUGAAGGGAGUUUUUUUUUUUUUCCCGAUACAAGGAGUGGAUACACUUUUUGAUACUAGAGUUUAGAGAAAUAACAGAACCACACCAAGUACAUAGAAUUAAGAUUCAGAUGUUAAACCUGGAAAUUAUGCAACUACUCAAACAUGUUGGAUGAUCAUGCUUGCAAUUUUCUGGAAUUUGAAUCUGGUUUCUGAAAUUGAUCUUUGAAAUUCAGAAAUUCCUUAGGCAUUGAGUUUGUUCUAGAUUCAAAAAAGUAAGCUCAGAAAGGUGCAAGUGCUGCUAUGGAAUUGAACCCUAGAAUGUCUGAAACUAUAAAGUACAGAUUUCUCUGAUGUUUUCCAAAUCGAAUUGCUUUGUACGAAAGUCUGGUGCUAAACUUGUUGGGAAUGAGUGCUCUUGAGUUAUAUGGUGCACAGAGGGAAGUAUUUUAUAGAAUAAUGGAGAGCUUAUGUGGAUAUGAAGUUACCUGUUUUGGCUAAGAAGUUGAGUUGUAAUUGGAUUAACAGUGCUAUGUGCCAAGUUUUCUCUGCAGAAUUUUUAUCAGUGAAAAGUUCAAGAGAGGUUUCUACCUUUUCAUUAUUAAUUGGUGACUCCUUCUCUCCAAGCUCUUAUGAUUAAAAAAAAAACCUGCAAGUUUUUUUUCCUAGAGCUGCGAAACAAAACCCUGAAUUGUUGCUGCUAAUGCCAGAAUUGCUGGAAAUUGAGUUGCAAAUGCUGAAACUGAAAUCUGGGACUGGUUCAAUCUGGUAAUUCUAUUGAAUCUCAAUUUUGGGAAAUGACUUUUGAACAUCUAUAAGUUCAGGAUUAACAGGGACUUGACCUAUCUGUACAGAUUGCUGCAGAACCAGGAUCUGUGCAGUUCUGAAUUGAAAUCAGAAAUUUCAAGGAAUGGUGAACUUUGGUUGAUAAUCUCAGCUCAUCAACUCCAGGAGUCCUUGCUUCUUUUCAGCUGUGUAUAAUUUGACAAUGAAGAUGAUAGAAUUUGUAGACCUUCACCAAGUAUGCAAGGACCAGAAUUCAACCAAUGAAGAAAAAAAACUGUGAAAACUGUUUCGUGCCAAAUCUUCUUGCUAUUCCUGAUUUGCAGCAACUUGAAUUUAGGCUUAAAUCAUUGCAGUGUUAAUUGAAACCCUUUUCCAAACUUAAUUCUUCAAUGACCAAGCUAAAGUUAUCUUUGAUUCCAAAGUUUGUAACUGCAAUCUGGAACCCAGAAUUCAGAACCUGCAGCCCUGGAGUGAAAUUUCUGAAGCUUAAUCUGAAAAUUUUAAAUCUGUUUUUGCUGAGAGUUUAAACUGUUCAUCAGUAGCAAAUUCUUUUCGCACCAAGCCUUUGAUGAAAGUAUCUGAUCAGUUAAAAACCAACCCCAGACAUGCUGGAAUGUCAGUCAACUAAAUCUCUAAAUAGGUAGAAUUCUGGAAGCUGAAGUCUUGCUGAUUUAAGUUGAACUCACUUCAACUUUCAGAAUCAGAAAUCAUUUGCAAUUUUGAAUUCCUUUUGGUAUGAUUUCUAAAAUCCUGAAAUGCAAUGGUUGGUCUCAACUUAGAGGUUUCUCUGAGCACAGAAAUUUGGACACCAUAGCAUUCCUUUUGCAAAGUUUUGUUGGUUCAUGAAGGAAGAGAGAAAAGAACACUUGCUCGGAGAGUAUCAAGUAGAGAGGAUAGCAUGACAAGAUUCUUGGGUGGUUAUCAAAUUGAAGGAAAGUUUGGCUUAAUCUUCUAUUUUGUCAUUGACAAAUGAUGUUCUUCAUUCCCCAUGAUAAAUUCUUUGAUACAUCUCAAAUUGGGUAACUCAUAAGGCAACCAAGGGAACAUGGAUUCAAGUCGGAUUAAAUUUGGAGUCAAAGCUAGAGCUAAAGGAAGAGAACCAAUUUGGUUUAAUCUUGGAAGUCCAUCCAAGAUCUGAGGAGAUUUGAAUCAUCCAUCAAAGAUCUAGUCCAUCCAAGUCAAAGGAGAGUGGAUCACAACCAUUGAUUAAGAUCUGGAGCUUUGGAUUCAAAUUUGAGUGUUCACAACCAUUGGAUCAGAUCUAGGCCAAUUUCCACCAUUCGUUCAAAUCUAAAAUCAAUUUAAAAGCAAGAAGCUACAAUUGUUUUCGUUCACCAAUUUUCUAUAGGAGGGAGCGGGACAUAAUAGAGGAGAGAAAAGGCGAGCAGAGCUUCAUCCAACAUUGCCACUUAUCUGAGCUCUAAUCAUCUUCUCCAUCCAUUGCCAGGUUUUUAAGCAAUGCUAGCAAUCCGAGAGGAAAGCGAUUCCCUUCAUUGAAUUUCGUCACCAAGACAAUUCUAGAUCCGUCCACCUUCAUCCCUUUCAAACCGAUGUCGUCUCCACCACAGGCAACCACCGAGCUUACCUUCGCGUAGUUUGGGUUUUUUCCCAUUGUCGGAAGCAAUUGGACAUUCCAAGAGGUCUCCUUCAUCCAUUCCUCGGUCGUAGUCCUAUGAUCGCAGUAUCAUCUUCGCUAUCAUCACCAAUGCAUGAUCAUGUUCACAUUGCAAUUCUGAGCUAGGCGAUGCCCUAGUUUGAGUUGUAAGAUUGUUACAUUCUGAUCUUUAGAUCACUCCAUUUUUGAUGUGCAAUUUCCA
This is a long non-coding RNA of Zingiber officinale, 6057 nucleotides long. RefSeq lists it as uncharacterized. The transcript has 4 exons. The record is from RefSeq and is a predicted model, not a curated record. NCBI's taxonomy places the organism in Eukaryota, Viridiplantae, Streptophyta, Magnoliopsida, Zingiberales, Zingiberaceae.